Molecule: ribosomal RNA, 654 nt
Filed under: uncultured archaeon
Lineage: Archaea
Description: bacterial SSU rRNA
Rfam family: Archaeal small subunit ribosomal RNA
Source: RNAcentral
GCCUAAAGCGUCCGUAGCCGGCUCUGUAAGUUUUCGGUUAAAUCCAUAUGCUCAACAUAUGGGCCGCCGGGAAUACUGCAUAGCUAGGGAGUGGGAGAGGUAGACGGUACUCCGUAGGAAGGGGUAAAAUCCUUUGAUCUAUGGAUGACCACCUGUGGCGAAGGCGGUCUACCAGAACACGUUCGACGGUGAGGGAUGAAAGCUGGGGGAGCAAACCGGAUUAGAUACCCGGGUAGUCCCAGCUGUAAACUAUGCAAACUCAGUGAUGCAUUGGCUUGUGGCCAGUGCAGUGCCGCAGAGAAGUCGUUAAGUUUGCCGCCUGGGAAGUACGUACGCAAGUAUGAAACUUAAAGGAAUUGGCGGGGGAGCACCACAAGGGGUGAAGCCUGCGGUUUAAUUGGAGUCAACGCCAGAAAUCUUACCCGGAGAGACAGCAGGAUGAAGGUCAAGCUGAAGACUUUACCAGACAAGCUGAGAAGUGGUGCAUGGUCGUCGCCAGCUCGUGCCGUGAGGUGUCCUGUUAAGUCAGGUAACGAGCGAGAUCCUUGCCUCUAGUUGCCACCAUUACUCUCAGGAGUAGUGGGGCGAAUUAGCGGGACUGCCGUAGUUAAUACGGAGGAAGGAGAGGGCCACGGCAGGUCAGUAUGCCCCGAA